AGUGAACGCUGGCGGUAGGCCUAACACAUGCAAGUCAAACGGCAGCACAGUAAGAGCUUGCUCUUACGGGUGGCGAGUGGCGGACGGGUGAGGAAUACAUCGGAAUCUCCUUUUUCGUGGGGGAUAACGUAGGGACACUUACGCUACUACCGCAUACGACCUACGGGUGAAAGCAGGGGAUCUUCGGACCUUUCGCGUUUGAAUGAGCUGAUGUCGGAUUAGCUAGUUGGCGGGGUAAAGGCCCACCAAGGCGACGAUCCGUAGCCGGUCUGAGAGGAUGAUCAGCCACACUGGAACUGAGACACGGUCCAGACUCCUACGGGAGGCAGCAGUGGGGAAUAUUGGACAAUGGGCGCAAGCCUGAUCCAGCCAUACCGCGGGGGUGAAGAAGGCCUUCGGGUUGUAAAACCCUUUUGUUGGGAAAGAAAAGCAGCAGGUUAAUACCCCGCUGUUCUGACGGUACCCAAAGAAUAAGCACCGGCUAACUUCGUG
Molecule: ribosomal RNA, 492 nt
Filed under: uncultured bacterium
Lineage: Bacteria
Description: partial 16S ribosomal RNA
Rfam family: Bacterial small subunit ribosomal RNA
Source: RNAcentral